This 93-nucleotide transfer RNA is filed under the name Syntrophomonadaceae bacterium. Its description in RNAcentral is "tRNA-Ser". It matches the Rfam family "tRNA". From Rfam's summary of the family: Transfer RNA (tRNA) molecules are approximately 80 nucleotides in length. The record is from RNAcentral. Lineage: Bacteria; Bacillati; Bacillota; Clostridia; Eubacteriales; Syntrophomonadaceae.
GGAGAGAUGGCUGAGUGGUCGAAGGCGCUCGACUGGAAAUCGAGUAGGCGGGUAGCCCCUGUCUCGAGGGUUCAAAUCCCUCUCUCUCCGCCA